AUAAUACUCCCCCGUCCCGAAAUUCUUGUCUUAGAUUUGGCUAAAUACGGAUAUAUCAAGUCACAUUUUAGUAUUAGAUACAUCUAUAUCUAGACAAAUUUAAGACAAGAAUUUUGGGACGAAGGGAGUAGUAU
Triticum aestivum (bread wheat) is the source of this 134-nucleotide non-coding RNA. The record is from Rfam. Lineage: Eukaryota; Viridiplantae; Streptophyta; Magnoliopsida; Poales; Poaceae.